RNAcentral lists this unclassified non-coding RNA (253 nucleotides) under uncultured Pseudomonadaceae bacterium. Its description in RNAcentral is "contains 16S-23S intergenic spacer region". It matches the Rfam family "Bacterial small subunit ribosomal RNA", at positions 524 to 776 of the family's 1533-position model. The record is from RNAcentral. Lineage: Bacteria; Pseudomonadati; Pseudomonadota; Gammaproteobacteria; Pseudomonadales; Pseudomonadaceae.
UACAGAGGGUGCAAGCGUUAAUCGGAAUUACUGGGCGUAAAGCGCACGUAGGCGGUGUGUUAAGUUGGAUGUGAAAUCCCCGGGCUCAACCUGGGAACUGCAUCCAAAACUGGCCGACUAGAGUCCGGUAGAGGGUGGUGGAAUUUCCUGUGUAGCGGUGAAAUGCGUAGAUAUAGGAAGGAACACCAGUGGCGAAGGCGACCACCUGGACUAAUACUGACACUGAGGUGCGAAAGCGUGGGGAGCAAACAGG